AUUGAACGCUGGCGGCAUGCUUUACACAUGCAAGUCGAACGGCAGCGCGGGCUUCGGCCUGGCGGCGAGUGGCGAACGGGUGAGUAAUGCAUCGGAACGUGCCCAGUAGUGGGGGAUAGCCCGGCGAAAGCCGGAUUAAUACCGCAUACGACCUGCGGGUGAAAGCGGGGGACCGAAAGGCCUCGCGCUAUUGGAGCGGCCGAUGUCGGAUUAGCUAGUUGGUGGGGUAAAGGCUUACCAAGGCGACGAUCCGUAGCUGGUCUGAGAGGACGACCAGCCACACUGGAACUGAGACACGGCCCAGACUCCUACGGGAGGCAGCAGUGGGGAAUAUUGGACAAUGGGGGCAAGCCUGAUCCAGCCAUGCCGCGUGCGGGAAGAAGGCCUUCGGGUUGUAAACCGCUUUUGUUCGGGAAGAAAUCCUCUGGGCUAAUACCCCGGGGGGAUGACGGUACCGGAAGAAUAAGCACCGGCUAACUACGUG
Molecule: ribosomal RNA, 484 nt
Filed under: uncultured bacterium
Lineage: Bacteria
Description: partial 16S ribosomal RNA
Rfam family: Bacterial small subunit ribosomal RNA
Source: RNAcentral